AACGAACGCUGGCGGCAUGCCUAACACAUGCAAGUCGAACGAGACCUUCGGGUCUAGUGGCGCACGGGUGCGUAGCGCGUGGGAACCUGCCCUUAGGUUCGGAAUAACUCCCCGAAAGGGGUGCUAAUACCGGAUAAUGUCUUCGGACCAAAGAUUUAUCGCCUUUGGAUGGGCCCGCGUUGGAUUAGCUAGUUGGUAGGGUAAAAGCCUACCAAGGCGACGAUCCAUAGCUGGUCUGAGAGGAUGAUCAGCCACACUGGGACUGAGACACGGCCCAGACUCCUACGGGAGGCAGCAGUGGGGAAUAUUGGACAAUGGGCGAAAGCCUGAUCCAGCAAUGCCGCGUGAGUGAUGAAGGCCUUAGGGUUGUAAAGCUCUUUUACCCGGGAUGAUAAUGACAGUACCGGGAGAAUAAGCUCCGGCUAACUCCG
This 431-nucleotide ribosomal RNA is filed under the name uncultured bacterium. RNAcentral's name for it is "partial 16S ribosomal RNA". It matches the Rfam family "Bacterial small subunit ribosomal RNA", at positions 29 to 505 of the family's 1533-position model. The record is from RNAcentral.